CAUGUAGUUCCGCCCACCUUUCCAACACUCUAGAAUUUCAGUUUCGUCGGCCAGCUAAUGGUUGAGCCACUAGUUUUCACCGUCGACUUGAUAUCCCGCCUAGAUGCCCUUUAUGCCCAAUAAUUCCGGAUAACGCUUGCGACAUACGUAUUACCGCGGCUGCUGGCACGUAUUUAGCCGUCGCUUAUUCUGUUGGUACAGUCACUUGCUUCUUCCCAACUUAAAGCACUUUACGAUCCGAAAACCUUCUUCGUGCACACAGAAUUGCUGGAUCAGAGUUUCCUCCAUUGUCCAAUAUUCCCCACUGCUGCCUCCCGUAAGAGUAAGGGCCGUAUCUCAGUCCCCUUGUGGCCGUCCACCCUCUCAGGCCGGCUACCUAUCAUCGUCUUGGUGAGCCAUUACCUCACCAACUAACUAAUAGGACGCAAAGCUCUCGUAUGGCAAAUUUAUUAUUUCAUAAAAGAUAGAUGCCUAUCUCUCAUUAUAUUCGGUCUUAUCCGUCGUUUCCAUCGGUUAUCCCCAUCCAUACGGCAAGUUCUUUACGCGUUACUCACCCGUCCGCCAUGAUUCCUCUUCCCGAAAGAAGUCUUCUCAUAGACUUGCAUGUGUUAAGCAUUCUGUCAGCGUUCAUCCUGAGCCAGGAUCAAACUCU
Molecule: ribosomal RNA, 652 nt
Filed under: uncultured bacterium
Lineage: Bacteria
Description: partial 16S ribosomal RNA
Source: RNAcentral